GGUCUUCAUAGCAUAUGGUUUGAUGCUAUGUUUUGGCUUUAGGAGAAAAACAACAUUGCUAACACAUUGAUAUUUUAGUUGUUGCUGAGCAGUGCUGUAGAGAGACAAGGAUAUUUCAGUUUUUCAGCUUCUAGUACUGUUCUGCCAGCAUGGGGACCUGCGGAGCAUGAGGAGCUCAGAAGGGACAGAACCAGGACAGCUAGCUUACACUGGCCAAAAGGAUAUUCCAUAUUAUAUGACAUCAUACGAAAAAGAACUUCAAAAAUGGUGGGGACUUGGCUGGGGGAGCAGCUGCUGCUUGUAGACUGGCUGGACAUCAGUCCACAAGUGACAAUUAAUUUUUUAGGACUGUGGGUUGAAGAGAGCAGCCAGGUAAAAGGUCAUGAACACCAAAAUCCUCUACUUCUCCUCUGCAACAGAGAAAGACUUCCCUCCCAACACUGUGCCCGUGCGCCCCAACCUUCUCCCAGAGGAGUCAUCCCUACGGAAGAAGAGUUGCAUGAUUUUCCUCCAUGUGCUGCCAGCCUUUCCUUGUGCGGAAGGCAGUGGUCCAUAGGGGACCAGACAAGCAUUAGCAAUCUCCUUCCAUGCUGAACACUCCAGAGAAAUGACAAGCAAGAAAGGUGGCCACUUUGGAUCAGGGAGAAGACCCAAGAAGAGAGCACUGUGGGCACACUGGCACUGCUACUGACUGCUUUCUACCCAUCCUGGGGACACACAGAACUUUCCAGGCCUGGCAGUCUGAAGACUAAACAUUCCCUGUAUCCAAACAGACCC
This 777-nucleotide long non-coding RNA is filed under the name Gallus gallus (chicken). Its description in RNAcentral is "lncRNA (ENSGALG00010018918.1)". The record is from RNAcentral. Lineage: Eukaryota; Metazoa; Chordata; Aves; Galliformes; Phasianidae.